Long non-coding RNA from Pseudopipra pipra, 1352 nucleotides. RefSeq lists it as uncharacterized. Lineage: Eukaryota; Metazoa; Chordata; Aves; Passeriformes; Pipridae. The transcript is spliced from 3 exons. The record is from RefSeq and is a predicted model, not a curated record.
UAGGAAUUUCAAAAGGGAAAUACAAUAAAAUGAGAGCGUUAAGAAUUUUAAAAUUAUUUGUCUUGUUGUAUCAAUUUAGCCCAAGUAGAGUACUGAGCAGUGUUAUAUUUUAAACCUUAACAUUUUUGCUUUCAGUGGUGCUGUGUAAUUGAGCUGCCCGUCUACCUCAGUUUAUUUUUUUCAUACCUUUGUUACUGCUUCUACAGAAAUAGCACAAAAUAUUCCUUUUCCCUGCUGUGAUUAAGAUUCAUCAUCUCAGUAGGAUUUCAUUUUUCAUUCCAUUUCCAUUUCCUUCGUAAAGCAGUGACGGAUCAAAAUCAUAUCGUUGUGUACCAGCUAAAAAAGUUUAAACUGACAAAAACAAUCAGUCCUAAAAGAGAAACCAGCUUUGCCAUAACAUCUGUUUCUUUCAAGGAAGGAAUAGUUUCAUUUGGGAUGGAAAAUAUGUAUUUAUGGAUAUGAAAAUGUUUUUUGUGGUACUUUGGUCCAUUUGCUACAUUCCAGCACUGCAUUUUGUGUUAGUACAGACAGUUUAACUGUCUGUAACAGACCUGCUUGUGCUAGCUGAUAGAUGAUUAACCUUCAUAAUGCAUUUCAUACCCUCAAGUGUUUCUCACUGCAGCAUAUUGCCACACUAAUUCCUUUUUUGUUACUUGAAGACCUGUAUCAUCCAAAAUGUGUAGAUAUAAGAUUGCUUUAAGCAUUAAAUUCAGGGGGAAAAGCUCUGGAAAUGCCACUUGUGAAAUGACGUUCAUCCAGGCUGGGGGAAGCUCUGACAAAUGCUUUUGAAGACCUUUGGUGAAUUUAUUGAACUGUUAUAGUCAAAAACCAAUCUUCUUAAGAGGAAAGAUGGCCACGAAAAUGGCCAAGGACUGGUUUUGAGAGGAGAAAACUAUUAGUGGCUGGACCAUUCUGGAGCAGGACAGGAGAACACUUGUGAAGGAGGUAUCACCUCUUGUAAGCAAAGGGGGGAAAUCCUCUUUGAGGGAAAAGAAAGUCAGAGGAAUAACAUUUUAUCAGACCUGGAUGUGGUCCUAGAGAUGUGUUAUCUAAGGAGAAGGAAAGAUAAUCACACCAUAAGGAGAUCAGGGGCUCAGAUCGCCUUGUAAAUGACAGUUCAUGGGCAUGAAGGUUCUUACUGCUGAUUAUGUGGUGUGUCUUUGCCUUCAACAUAAGGCUUAUUUCUGAGCUGGAAUGCACUGUGGUAUCCCAGCCACCCCCUCAAGGUAUCUUUGCUCCAAACAAAGUGGAGGUACCUGUUGUCUCAGCAUGGUCAUGGAAGGCAGUGAAGUGAUCUUGAUUUAGAAGACACAUUUUGUCCAUGAAUGGGGGAAUAAAUAACCAAAACUGUA